CCUACGGGUGACAGCAGUGGGGAAUAUUGGGCAAUGGGCGCAAGCCUGACCCAGCAACGCCGCGUGAAGGAAGAAGGCUCUUGGGUUGUAAACUUCCUGUAAGAGGGAAGAGAAGAAGACGGUACCUCUUGAAUAAGGCACGGCUAACUACGUGCCAGCAGCCGCGGUAAUACGUAGGUGGCAAGCGUUGUCCGGAUUUAAUGGGUGUAAAGGGCGUGCAGCCGGGAAGACAAGUCAGAUGUGAAAUCCCGCGGCUCAACCGCGGAACUGCAUUUGAAACUGUUUGUCUUGAGUACCGGAGAGGUCAUCGGAAUUCCUUGUGUAGCAGUGAAAUGCGUAGAUAUAGGGAAGAACACCAGUGGCGAAGGCGGAUGACUGGACGGCAACUGACGGUGAGGCGCGAAGGCGUGGGGAGCGAACAGGAUUAGAUACCCUUGUAGUC
This 442-nucleotide ribosomal RNA is filed under the name uncultured bacterium. RNAcentral's name for it is "partial 16S ribosomal RNA". It matches the Rfam family "Bacterial small subunit ribosomal RNA", at positions 338 to 795 of the family's 1533-position model. The record is from RNAcentral.